GCCCCCGUAGCUCAGCUGGAUAGAGCGCACCCCUCCUAAGGGUGAGGCCACACGUUCGAAUCGUGUCGGGGGCGCCA
Molecule: transfer RNA, 77 nt
Filed under: Sedimenticola selenatireducens
Lineage: Bacteria; Pseudomonadati; Pseudomonadota; Gammaproteobacteria; Chromatiales; Sedimenticolaceae
Description: tRNA-Arg
Rfam family: tRNA
About the family: Transfer RNA (tRNA) molecules are approximately 80 nucleotides in length. Their secondary structure includes four short double-helical elements and three loops (D, anti-codon, and T loops). Further hydrogen bonds mediate the characteristic L-shaped molecular structure. tRNAs have two regions of fundamental functional importance: the anti-codon, which is responsible for specific mRNA codon recognition, and the 3' end, to which the tRNAs corresponding amino acid is attached (by aminoacyl-tRNA synthetases). tRNAs cope with the degeneracy of the genetic code in two manners: having more than one tRNA (with a specific anti-codon) for a particular amino acid; and 'wobble' base-pairing, i.e. permitting non-standard base-pairing at the 3rd anti-codon position.
Source: RNAcentral